RNAcentral lists this ribosomal RNA (440 nucleotides) under uncultured bacterium. Its description in RNAcentral is "partial 16S ribosomal RNA". It matches the Rfam family "Bacterial small subunit ribosomal RNA", at positions 338 to 795 of the family's 1533-position model. The record is from RNAcentral.
CCUACGGGAUGCAGCAGUGGGGGAUAUUGCACAAUGGAGGAAACUCUGAUGCAGCGACGCCGCGUGAGUGAAGAAGGCAUUCGGAUUGUAAAGCUCUGUCAUCGGGGAAGAAAAUGACGGUACCUAAAUACGACGCCCCGGCUAACUCCGUGCCAGCAGCCGCGGUAAUACGUAGGGGGCGAGCGGUGUCCGGAAUUACUGGGUGUAACGGGAGCGUAGGCGGGGGGGCAAGUCUGGAGUGAAAGCCUGCGGCUCAACCGGGUGACGGCGUUGGAAACUGUACGGCUGGAGGGCAGUAGAGGCGAGUGGAAUUCCUAGUGUAGCGGUGAAAUGCGUAGAUAUUAGGAGGAACACCAGUGGCGAAGGCGGCCUACUGGACUGUAACUGACGCUGAGGCUCGAAAGCGUGGGGAGCAAACAGGAUUAGAUACCCUAGUAGUC